GAUGAACGCUGGCGGCGUGCCUAAUACAUGCAAGUCGAGCGAACGGACGAGAAGCUUGCUUCUCUGAUGUUAGCGGCGGACGGGUGAGUAACACGUGGAUAACCUACCUAUAAGACUGGGAUAACUUCGGGAAACCGGAGCUAAUACCGGAUAAUAUUUUGAACCGCAUGGUUAAAAGGUGAAAGACGGUCUUGCUGUCACUUAUAGAUGGAUAGGCGCUGCAUUAGCUAGUUGGUAAGGUAACGGCUUACCAAGGCAACGAUGCAUAGCCGACCUGAGAGGGUGAUCAGCCACACUGGAACUGAGACACGGUCCAGACUCCUACGGGAGGCAGCAGUGGGGAAUCUUCGACAAUGGGCGAAAGCCUGACCGAGCAACACCGCGUGAGUGAUGAAGGUCUUCGGAUCGUAAAGCUCUGUUAUUAGGAAAGAACAGAAGUGUAAGUAACUGUGCACAUCUUGACGGUACCCAAACAGAAAGCCACGGCUAACUUCGUG
Molecule: ribosomal RNA, 497 nt
Filed under: uncultured bacterium
Lineage: Bacteria
Description: partial 16S ribosomal RNA
Rfam family: Bacterial small subunit ribosomal RNA
Source: RNAcentral